RNAcentral lists this ribosomal RNA (465 nucleotides) under uncultured bacterium. RNAcentral describes it as "partial 16S ribosomal RNA". It matches the Rfam family "Bacterial small subunit ribosomal RNA", at positions 28 to 507 of the family's 1533-position model. The record is from RNAcentral.
GACGAACGCUGGCGGCGUGCUUAACACAUGCAAGUCGAACGGAAAGGCCCUGCUUGCGGGGUACUCGAGUGGCGAACGGGCGAGUAACACGUGGGUGCUCUGCCCUGCACUUCGGGAUAAGCCUGGGAAACUGGGUCUAAUACCGGAUAGGAGCCAUUUUCAGCGUGAGGGUUGGAAAGUUUUUUCGGUGUUGGAUGAGCUCGCGGCCUAUCGGCUUGUUGGUGGGGUAAUGGCCUACAAAGGCGGCGAGGGGAAGCCGGCCUGGGAGGGUGGACGGCGACAUUGGGACGGAAGAACGGCCCAGAUUCCUAGGGGGGGCAGAAGGGGGGAAGUUUGCACAAGGGGCGCAGGCCUGGUGAAGAGAGGCCGCGGGGGGGAUGACGGCCUUGGGGUUGAAAACUCCUUUCACUAGGAACGAAGCUUUUUGUGACGGUACCUAGAGAAGAAGCACCGGCUAACUACGUG